GCUGGGCAUGGUGGCAUGUGCCUGUAGUCCCAACUACUUGGGAGGCUGAGGCAGGAGGAUUAUUUGAGCCCAGGAGGUCAAGGCUGCAGUGAGCCAUGAUCGAGCCACUGCACUCCAGCCUGGGUGACAGAGUAAGAUCCUGUCUCAA
This 148-nucleotide signal recognition particle RNA is filed under the name Pan troglodytes (chimpanzee). Its description in RNAcentral is "Metazoan signal recognition particle RNA". It matches the Rfam family "Metazoan signal recognition particle RNA". From Rfam's summary of the family: The signal recognition particle (SRP) is a universally conserved ribonucleoprotein. It is involved in the co-translational targeting of proteins to membranes. The eukaryotic SRP consists of a 300-nucleotide 7S RNA and six proteins: SRPs 72, 68, 54, 19, 14, and 9. The record is from Rfam by way of RNAcentral. Lineage: Eukaryota; Metazoa; Chordata; Mammalia; Primates; Hominidae.